GACGAACGCUGGCGGCGUGCUUAACACAUGCAAGUCGAACGGAAAGGCCCUGCUUUUGUGGGGUGCUCGAGUGGCGAACGGGUGAGUAACACGUGAGUAACCUGCCCUUGACUUUGGGAUAACUUCAGGAAACUGGGGCUAAUACCGGAUAGGAGCUCCUGCUGCAUGGUGGGGGUUGGAAAGUUUCGGCGGUUGGGGAUGGACUCGCGGCUUAUCAGCUUGUUGGUGGGGUAGUGGCUUACCAAGGCUUUGACGGGUAGCCGGCCUGAGAGGGUGACCGGCCACAUUGGGACUAAGAUGCGGCCCAGACUCCUACGGGAGGCAGCAGUGGGGAAGAGUGCACAAUGGACGGAAGGCUGAUGCAGCAACGCCGCGUGCGGGAUAACGGCCUUCGGGUUGUAAACCGCUUUCGCCUGUGACGAAGCGUGAGUGACGGUAAUGGGUAAAGAAGCACCGGCUAACUACGUG
Molecule: ribosomal RNA, 468 nt
Filed under: uncultured bacterium
Lineage: Bacteria
Description: partial 16S ribosomal RNA
Rfam family: Bacterial small subunit ribosomal RNA
Source: RNAcentral